UUCCACAAGUUAAUCUGCAUUCCUGGUGGGAUGGUGCCACCGUGGUGGGUGAGAUCCCCUCCACUGGGCUGUUCAGUGGCACCUGAACAGGGAGAUGGUGCUGGCUCAGCUGGUGGACUUGAUGAUCUUAAAGGGCUUUUCCAGUCUUAAGGAUUCAAGGAUUCUGUGAUUUUAGUUUCCAGCUGACGCUGGGGAGGCUCCAGGAGGUUCUGCACUGAGGCACUGGGAGGUUUCAGUGCUGGCAGAAUUCCUGAUCCACUCACAGGAUCCAGCUUUCACAGAGGAUUUGUUUUGAAGUGAAAAAGGAACAUCCCAGAUGGGAAUUUGGCCCUGCUGAUUAUGCCUUAUCCUGCCCCGUUUCUCAGGCCAAGGUCUGAGACACCAGGCAGGGAGGAAUUAAUUAAUUAACUUUCACCAACAAAGGGAUUUACCC
Molecule: long non-coding RNA, 433 nt
Organism: Corapipo altera (White-ruffed manakin)
Lineage: Eukaryota; Metazoa; Chordata; Aves; Passeriformes; Pipridae
Exons: 4
Source: RefSeq, a predicted model, not a curated record